UGAAGGGUUAUAGUUCACCUGUUAUUUCUGUGCAUUUUUAGGAGGGGACACACCAUGCUGCCUUGGCCCAUCAUUUUCCUGGAACCAGACAUUUGGUUAUGUAAUUCCAAAUGUUUUUACAGAGCUGAUGCAUUUUCCCAUUUAUAAAAAAAUGAUGUGUUCUCAUGGCGAUUGGAGAAUAUAAAACCCUAAAAUGGAAAGCAGAGGAGUGACUGGAAAUAAAGCUUUAGAAACUGAAUACAUGGCUGUGAAUGGUAACAACGUCUCUUUCCCAGGGAUAAGGAUCGACUGAGAAAAUCCUCCACAGUGGGUUAGAAGAUGCUAAAGAAACAUUGAAAUAUUUGAGCUACAGACUCAGAUGGCCAAGAGGCUCCAGAGGGGCAGGCCUGGUGAUGAAUGGAGCUGCAGAGAUUGCACCUGCCGAGGGUGAGAGACAGAAAAAUGGCAGAACCUAAACCAGUGCCCCGGCCCCCACCCAGCCUUUGCAAUCACCCAUUGAGUACCCCGUGUCCGGUGACUUGAGAUCAAGACCAAGGAGAAAAGAAAAGUUCACAUGUCAAAAAUAUAUCCACAAGCUUCAACCAAACAAUAACUUCGAAACAUGCCUUUCUCUCUCUCUUGGAAAAGGAUUUCUGAAUGUCGGAGUGAGAUUUGUUACCUGAUGAUGCCUCAGGUCUGUGAAGACUUCUCCUCCCAGGGUCUCGAGGGAAGUGGAAGGAAGUGCCCAUCAGGUUAAUGCUGGAAACCUAGUCCCGUGUGUGACCCGAGGGAACUCGUCAUCGUGCGUUUGACCCCGCCCAGGAGACCACCUCUUCUCUACAGACCCAGCCCAGGAGACCGCCCCUUCCCUGCAGACCCCGCCCAGGAGACCGCCCCUUCCCUGCAGACCCCGCCCAGGAGACCGCCCCUUCCCUACAGACCCCGCCCAGGAGACCGCCCCUUCCCUACAGACCCCGCCCAGGAGACCGCCCCUUCCCUGCAGACCCCGCCCAGGAGACCGCCCCUUCCCUGCAGACCCCGCCCAGGAGACCGCCCCUUCCCUACAGACCCCACCCAGGGGCCAGCCUGUUGCCAUGAGUCAGACUUGCAAACGUCAGAUCACCAUCCCUCAAACAGCCCAGGACACCAAACAAUAACCCCUGUCACAGCCAGCCCCGGGUGGCCAGGCCUUGAUUAGCAACUGAUGACUUCCCUAAUUUUUGUCCCCACUUCCAAUUCAUAUUCCAACUCUAAACAUGGCCCCUCCCCAAUCCUGUCACAGGACACCUGCUUCUGGUCAGCUGCCUCCAGCUCCCCAGGCCAACAGCCUCUGUGGGGGCUCACCUGGAACCUCCCCAUCUCCACCUUGAAGCUUCCCACUCCCCUGCCUGCCUUUGAGGCAAGCGAUGGUGGCCGACUCCUGCGCAAGCUCCAAACAAUGGACCUCUGCUUUCCUCAUUGGGAGCAGGGUCUUCCCUCAUUUCCAAGCCCUGAGCACAGCGGCGGAGUCCAAGCAGCAGCAGCCUACCCCUCAGUGCUUCAGCAAAGCAGAGACACCGGUGGGAGCAGGAGGGCCCAGGCGGAACCUUCUGGAGCAGGUCCUGGAGCUCCUGGCUGGCUCCUGAGCUUCCCCUCUGAGGUCCUGCACAACCGUAUCUGCUGAAUGCUGAGAGGACCAAGCUGGGAAACAGAGGGAGCAGGUCACAGGAUAGGAACUUGGGAAGAAAAACGCUUUCCUUCCCCAGGGGCUCCAGCAGGGUGGCGAGGGGCUGAAAAGAGGGACUGGGUUCAGUGUCCCAUUCAGGGCACAUGCCGUCUCGAAUUGGGAGAAGAGGGUAUUUUUCAGCAUUUGUGCUAAACUUGCGUGUGUACAUAUUCGCUGGCACUUCGGCAGCAGUUGGUUUGCUCUCGCUAAGCGUUAUUUUAUUAUUCAAACCAGAGUUUGGUUCAUUAUCUCUCUGCAGAGCUUCUUGCAGGCAGAACUCCCACACUCCGACAUCGCUGUCCAGAGUCAGUCCUGUGGGACUCUCAGAGUACAGAAAAUUCUGAGAGCUCCGUGAUGAGAGGGAAGGCUCAGCGUGGAAAACAAGGCGGUCCCACUCCUCCGCCUUCAGUUCUCCAGGGCAAGCGGGGCAGAGCUGUCCGAGAUUCUGGGAAUCUUCACUGUUUCUAGUUCAGCACAAAGGUGGGGUGUGGCUUGGAGGUAAGAACCAGAAACAGGACCCUGGGACUCAGGGAACAUCGGUGGGGAAUGAGCUGGGUCAAGGGAGCCAGUCCUGGGCCAGCCCCAGAGGCUGAGUCAGAGGUCAGGCCGGGCCCAGGAGAUCCUGGCCGAGAGCUCCGGGAAGUGCUGGUGCAAGCGGGCUGGGUGUGCAGCCAGCGGGAAUAGUGGGGCAGAGAAGGGGUGCAGAAGGGCCGGCAGGCAGGUAAUAAUGAGAGGAACAGGAGGAGGCAGGUUAUGGCAAGUCACAGGGCCUGGGCAAAGGAGCUGGGGUCAGCAAUAAUAUAGAAGAGAUCAGAGGCCAGACCCCACCCAGGCCUGGCAGAUGUAGGGACGGCUUCUGGAGGAAGUGGGAGCAGACUCCAUGCAAGGGAGGGGCUGGGGAAGGAAGCUCAGGCCCAGGCAAAGAGGCAAGGAAGUCAGGCAGAGGAGAGGCAGGGGUCUCUGGGAGCUGGGGCCUCUCUGGUUCUUUGGGUUUCUGCAAGAUAGAAUGCUGUGUGCUCCACAACUUCUCCUCAGCUACCACCAGACCCUUGGGGGCAUCACAGCAACCCUCAACACAGCCUGCUUUGCUGGACAUGUGCCCUGAACUUUGAGACCCAAGCUAGGGCUUGAUUUAGGCCAUUGUUGUUCACUCAAUCGCCAGGCUCUGCUUAUAACAAUAG
This is a non-coding RNA of Macaca mulatta (Rhesus monkey), 2865 nucleotides long. The record is from RefSeq and is a predicted model, not a curated record. Lineage: Eukaryota; Metazoa; Chordata; Mammalia; Primates; Cercopithecidae.